This is a long non-coding RNA of Brassica oleracea var. oleracea, 2167 nucleotides long. RefSeq lists it as uncharacterized. The transcript is spliced from 5 exons. NCBI's taxonomy places the organism in Eukaryota, Viridiplantae, Streptophyta, Magnoliopsida, Brassicales, Brassicaceae. The record is from RefSeq and is a predicted model, not a curated record.
CGUAUCUGAUCGCUGAGAUUUUUGCUCUGAUGGUUGCUUCAAUGGAGGAGAUGAUUGCUUCAGGAGGUUUGAAGAUCUGCCUAUGCAACCUGUUGUUUCGUUCUGACCAAAUCAUGUACAUCGAGCAUUGCCAACAGAGGAUGGAGAGAUACCGCUGGUGGCGUGAUCUAUGCGUCAGUUGAAGGUCGGCGAUGGUUUGAUCCCAGGAGGCUGACGGCGAGAACCUGCUUCUCCGUGCUAUUGUCGACCAGAUAUGCCACGAAUAGCUACAUGUGAAAAAAAGAUGGUCGCGACUUUCUGGUGCAUUGUUACAGAGAAGACAUGAGGGAUCUGUAGCAAGUCCCCAGCUCAGCAAGCGGUCUCGGGUAGGACAUCGAUUUAGGAGCAGGAGCCACGAGAGAAAACUGUGCUUAGGAGUACCUUGUCUUAGCCAAACAAUGCUAAACCAGGGGACCAACGGAUUGUGAUGCGUAAGCUCGCAGAGAUGAAGCAUUGCAGGAGUACUUGUGCAUCUGAUCGAGCCGGUGGGAGUAUCCAAUCACCAUCAACGUAGAGGUCUGAGACGGUGGCGAGUCUUGGGAUGCCUAAUCUUGAGUGAGGCUGGAGUUGAAGAAAAUCUGAUAUAUUUCCAUAAGGGGACCAAUUAUCGCUCCAAAAACGAGCAUGUCUUCCAUUUCCUAGCUUGACAUGAAUCCAAUUGUAGACCAAUGGCCUUAAGCGAAGAAAGCGCUUGACAAGCCAGGAAUGAUUAUUUGAUUCUUUGAUUAUCCAGAAAUUGGAGCGAUCGCCAGAUAUAAUUUCUUCAACAAACCAAGCUACCCAUAUUGAACCAGAGCUGAAGAACAGUAGCCAGAUGAGCCUGAUAGAAGUGGCCUUGUUCCAGCUUACAAGAUCCCUGAUGCCUAACCCCCCUUCCUCCUUUGCGUGAACAAUGGUGUCCCAUGCUACACGAGCCGAGUGAUGUCCCUCUAAAGUCCCUUUCCACAGAGAGGGACUCCAAGGUAUCUGAUUGGGAGGGUUCCAUGAGACAGACCUGUUUCCUCAGCAAUUUCCGUAAUUUCUGUCUGCGGUAGCCCACAAGUGAAGAAGCAGUUUUUUGAUAGACUUACUCCAAGACCCGAGUGCCUUUCGAAUUCAUUUAGUACUUCCAACACUCCUUUAACUGAUUGUUUAUCUCCUUUGGUGAAUAUUAGCAGAUCAUCAGCGAAACAUAGGUGCGUUAGUUUACUAUCCUCGCAGUUUUGAUGGUAUCCAAAUCUUCCUUCUGUCGCUGCGUUGUUGAGGAGAGUAGAUAAGCAGUUCAUUGCAACUACAAACAAGUAAGGAGAUAGGGGAUCUCCUUGACGAAGACCCCUUUUGCUCUUGAAGUACCCUUGGACCGUUCCAUUGUAUCCUACCGAGAAAGAGGCAGUACAAACGCAAGCUUCCAACCAGCGGAUAUACAGUGUAGCCAAAACCGUAUUUUCAACAAGAAGGCGUCCCUGCACAAACGCUGUUUGAUUUGGGAGGAUGAGAUCAGGCAAAAGAGGCUUGAGGCAAUGAACCAGCAGCUUAGAGAUAGCCUUAUAGAGGGUGUUACAGCACGAGAUAGGCCUGAAAUCUCCUAUUGCAGAAGCUCCUGGUCUUUUUGGGACAAGGGUUAGGAUGGUGGAGUUUGCAGCUGAGGGGAGAAAAGCUGCUGAGAAAAAAGAUUUGAUUGCAUUUACAGUUUCUGCCCCUAGAAGAUUCCAAGCAGACUUGAAAAAUCCCGAACAUCAGGGAGUGUGAUCGUAGAUUGUGCUUGGGAGACCUGACAUCGGUGCUGGAUCAAUGAUUGGAACCAUUGGAGGGAGGAGAUCGAUUCUGGUAGAACUGCAGGGGAUAGGAGAGCCUGGAAGUGAGAAACAGCAUGAAGUCCCAUCGCUAGGGGGUCCGUAAUCAGAGCACCUGAUGGUAGCGAGAAUGAUCUGAUGGAGUUGAAAGAUGCUCGGACUUGGACUAGACGAUGAAAGUAUGUGGUGAUUGCCAUAUUUUCUUCAUUCCAACAACUACAUCAUUGUUUCUUCCUUCUUAGUUCCAACAAUCACAAGACUCACAACUCACUGCCGAAGAUUUGUUGAAAAAACAUGUUACUCAGUUGAAAAAUUCGGGAAGCUCCAGAAUAGUUGUGCACAAUAAAAAUGAUCAC